GUCUACAGCCAUGCUACCCUGAACAUGCCCGAUCCCAUCUGAUCUCGGAAGCUUAGCAGGGUCUGGCCUGGUUAGUGGUUGGAUGGGAGACCAUUUAGGAAGACCGGGCGCUGUAGGCA
RNAcentral lists this ribosomal RNA (119 nucleotides) under Pteropus alecto (black flying fox). Lineage: Eukaryota; Metazoa; Chordata; Mammalia; Chiroptera; Pteropodidae. The record is from RNAcentral.